UGGGAAAGCACUCGGGGUAUCAUGGCAGCUGCGCUCGAAAAAGAUGACUAGAUAUCGGGAGAGGGAGAGUGGAAUUACUCAGUGUAGAGGUGAAAUUCGUAGAUAUUGAGAAGCACACCCGCGGGGGGAGGGCGACUCUCUAGACCGAUCCUGACGGUGAGGCGGGAAAGCGUGGGGAGCAAGCAGGCUGAGUUACCUUGGUAGUUCAUGCUGUCAAUGAUGUAUCAUAGACGUGGGGGACACUAGCUCUUGGGUGUCGCAGCUAACGCGGUAAGCACUCCGCCUGGGGAGUACGGCGGCAACAUUAAAACUCAAAGGAAGAACGGGGGGCCGCACAACAAGCGAGCAUGUGGUUUAAUUAGACGCAACGCGAAGAACCUUACCAGCCCUUGACAUGUCCCGUAUGGGCCGGAGAGAUCCGGUCCUUCAGUUGCAAGGCGGGAACACAGGGCUGCAUGGCUGUCGUCAGCUCGUGUCGUGAGAUGUUGGGUUAAGUCCCGCAACGAGCGCAACCCCCAUCUUCAGUU
This 527-nucleotide ribosomal RNA is filed under the name uncultured bacterium. Its description in RNAcentral is "bacterial SSU rRNA". It matches the Rfam family "Bacterial small subunit ribosomal RNA", at positions 593 to 1116 of the family's 1533-position model. The record is from RNAcentral.